This 454-nucleotide ribosomal RNA is filed under the name uncultured bacterium. Its description in RNAcentral is "partial 16S ribosomal RNA". It matches the Rfam family "Bacterial small subunit ribosomal RNA", at positions 28 to 507 of the family's 1533-position model. The record is from RNAcentral.
GAUGAACGCUGACAGAAUGCUUAACACAUGCAAGUCUACUUGAACUUCGGUUUGGGUGGCGGACGGGUGAGUAACGCGUAAAGAACUUGCCUCACAGAUAGGGACAACAUUUGGAAACGAAUGCUAAUACCUGAUAUUAUGAUUUUAGGGCAUCCUAGAAUUAUGAAAGCUAUAUGCACUGUGAGAGAGCUUUGCGUCCCAUUAGCUAGUUGGAGAGGUAACGGCUCACCAAGGCGAUGAUGGGUAGCCGGCCUGAGAGGGUGAUCGGCCACAAGGGGACUGAGGCACGGCCCUUACUCCUACGGGAGGCAGCAGUGGGGAAUAUUGGACAAUGGACCAAGAGUCUGAUCCAGCAAUUCUGUGUGCACGAUGAAGUUUUUCGGAAUGUAAAGUGCUUUCAGUUGGGAAGAAAAAAAUGACGGUACCAACAGAAGAAGUGACGGCUAAAUACGUG